Molecule: long non-coding RNA, 659 nt
Organism: Cornus florida
Lineage: Eukaryota; Viridiplantae; Streptophyta; Magnoliopsida; Cornales; Cornaceae
Exons: 2
Source: RefSeq, a predicted model, not a curated record
CAGGCGGCCCAAAAGAUUAUGUAUUAACAGUAAGGCCCAAGGCCAUGGACACAAGAGUGAACCCAAACCCAUCCCCAUCUAGAACGAUUAUCCCUAGCAAUCAAUGAACAUCCGUUGAUAACUGUUCAGUAGCAGUUAGCAAUGGAUGUAAGUUCUCCUUCCGGUGAUCAACCGAAGCUGAUGAUGACACGAAUCACCCGCACAAUCAGUCCGGAGGUCAUGGCGGUGGCCGGAGAGGAGUAGCAAUCAGGCUUCAUUCCUAUGCAAGUGUAGAAAUAGUUUCUUUCUUCGAAAUUUUGAGUGAUCCUGCAAUGGGCAACAAGCUUCAGCAUCUUUGAUUGUGAUGAAGGUAAGGAAGCUAUAUUGUCGGAUGCACAACAAUCUUAGACUUGCUAGACCACUUGGAGUAUUUUUGCUAUGUUAGAAUAUGCACAUGUUUGCAUAUCACACUUCUUUUUGGUUGUUAUGUCAAGAUAUGUAUUUCUUGUUCAAACUAUGUAAUAUGCACUUAAGUGCACCUUUUGUUACUCUUAGAAUGUGUUGUAAUGAGGCCAAGGGCCAAAGACACUUAUGGGACAUGUCUGUUAAUUUUAACUUCAUUGUUGCCUAUGGGAGAUAUGUGAUUUAAUGUAUUGAAGGGUCAUAUUUUGUAUAUGAUA